GGGUGUGUAGCUCAGUUGGUUAGAGCAUCGGAUUUUUAAUCCGGUGGUGGUGGGUUCGAGUCCCUCCAUACCUA
RNAcentral lists this transfer RNA (74 nucleotides) under Monomastix sp. OKE-1. Its description in RNAcentral is "tRNA-Lys". It matches the Rfam family "tRNA". Rfam says of the family: Transfer RNA (tRNA) molecules are approximately 80 nucleotides in length. Their secondary structure includes four short double-helical elements and three loops (D, anti-codon, and T loops). Lineage: Eukaryota; Viridiplantae; Chlorophyta; Mamiellophyceae; Monomastigales; Monomastigaceae. The record is from RNAcentral.